GACGAACGCUGGCGGCGUGCUUAACACAUGCAAGUCGAACGGAAAGGCCCUGCUUGCAGGGUACUCGAGUGGCGAACGGGUGAGUAACACGUGGGUAAUCUGCCCUGCACUUCGGGAUAAGCCUGGGAAACUGGGUCUAAUACCGGAUAGGAGCCAUUUUUAGUGUGAUGGUUGGAAAGUUUUUUCGGUGUAGGAUGAGCUCGCGGCCUAUCAGCUUGUUGGUGGGGUAAUGGCCUACCAAGGCGGCGACGGGUAGCCGGCCUGAGAGGGUGGACGGCCACAUUGGGACUGAGAUACGGCCCAGACUCCUACGGGAGGCAGCAGGGGGGAAUAUUGCACAAUGGGCGCAAGCCUGAUGCAGCGACGCCGCGUGGGGGAUGACGGCCUUCGGGUUGUAAACUCCUUUCGCUAGGGACGAAGCUUUUUGUGACGGUACCUAGAGAAGAAGCACCGGCUAACUACGUG
This 465-nucleotide ribosomal RNA is filed under the name uncultured bacterium. RNAcentral describes it as "partial 16S ribosomal RNA". It matches the Rfam family "Bacterial small subunit ribosomal RNA", at positions 28 to 507 of the family's 1533-position model. The record is from RNAcentral.